ACCUGGCUGGCUCAGUCGGCAGAGCAGCAAACUUUUGAUCUUGGAGUUGUGAGUUCGAGUCCCACAUUGGGUA
Molecule: transfer RNA, 73 nt
Filed under: Ailuropoda melanoleuca (giant panda)
Lineage: Eukaryota; Metazoa; Chordata; Mammalia; Carnivora; Ursidae
Rfam family: tRNA
About the family: Transfer RNA (tRNA) molecules are approximately 80 nucleotides in length. Their secondary structure includes four short double-helical elements and three loops (D, anti-codon, and T loops). Further hydrogen bonds mediate the characteristic L-shaped molecular structure. tRNAs have two regions of fundamental functional importance: the anti-codon, which is responsible for specific mRNA codon recognition, and the 3' end, to which the tRNAs corresponding amino acid is attached (by aminoacyl-tRNA synthetases). tRNAs cope with the degeneracy of the genetic code in two manners: having more than one tRNA (with a specific anti-codon) for a particular amino acid; and 'wobble' base-pairing, i.e. permitting non-standard base-pairing at the 3rd anti-codon position.
Source: Rfam by way of RNAcentral